GACGAACGCUGGCGGCGUGCUUAACACAUGCAAGUCGAGCGGAAAGGCCCUUCGGGGUACUCGAGCGGCGAACGGGUGAGUAACACGUGAGUAACCUGCCCCAGACUUUGGGAUAACCCUCGGAAACGGGGGCUAAUACCGGAUACGACACAGCUUCGCAUGGGGUCUGUGUGGAAAGUUUUUCGGUUUGGGAUGGGCUCGCGGCCUAUCAGCUUGUUGGUGGGGUGAUGGCCGACCAAGGCGACGACGGGUAGCCGGCCUGAGAGGGCGACCGGCCACACUGGGACUGAGACACGGCCCAGACUCCUACGGGAGGCAGCAGUGGGGAAUAUUGCACAAUGGGCGGAAGCCUGAUGCAGCGACGCCGCGUGAGGGAUGACGGCCUUCGGGUUGUAAAUCUCUUUCAGCAGGGACGAAGCGUAAGUGACGGUACCUGCAGAAGAAGCGCCGGCCAACUACGUG
Molecule: ribosomal RNA, 462 nt
Filed under: uncultured bacterium
Lineage: Bacteria
Description: partial 16S ribosomal RNA
Rfam family: Bacterial small subunit ribosomal RNA
Source: RNAcentral